Molecule: ribosomal RNA, 260 nt
Filed under: uncultured bacterium
Lineage: Bacteria
Description: partial 16S ribosomal RNA
Rfam family: Bacterial small subunit ribosomal RNA
Source: RNAcentral
ACCGGCGCACGGGUGAGUAACACGUAUCCAACCUGCCGUCUACUCUUGGACAGCCUUCUGAAAGGAAGAUUAAUACAAGAUGGCAUCAUGAGUCCGCAUGUUCACAUGAUUAAAGGUAUUCCGGUAGACGAUGGGGAUGCGUUCCAUUAGAUAGUAGGCGGGGUAACGGCCCACCUAGUCUUCGAUGGAUAGGGGUUCUGAGAGGAAGGUCCCCCACAUUGGAACUGAGACACGGUCCAAACUCCUACGGGAGGCAGCUG